AUUGCAGGCAUCGAACAUACUCACAUUUUUCUUGCAGAUCCCACAUUUUUCUUUUUCUUGUUUUCAAUGGUUGGCGAUGAACUCUCGCAGUCUCACUCGUGGUUUCUACUCCUGAUUCAGUUAUUCUUGUGUGUUUAUUAUGCCGUAGUUGUCGAGACAUAAAGUUCCUCCUGAUUCAGUUAGUUGGUCCCGAUUUAAUCAUUUGAACAAGUUCCUCCAUCUCAACAAGUAACUUAGCUGGAUACAUUUUGCACUCCAAUCAAGAGCUUACCACAAUCUCAGUUGGAUACAUUUUUCUACUUUAAGUAACUUUGCGAUCUCAGUACAUAUUUUGCAUACUUGUAUUACAGUUUGUUUAUCUACUGCAGGUAGAGUGCAGAGUAGCUUCUUAAUCUUGCAGUUCCCUUGCUAGUCAUGAAUGUUCAUUGCUUUGGCGAGGGAACUUCUGUAGUCGAACAUGUUUAUGUACUCCAGUCUUGUUCUGCAUGCUUAAGCAGUCAAACAUGUUUAGAUAUUCCAGUAGGAGUACUUGUAUCUCUGCAUAUACUCCAGUCUUGUUCAGUAGGAGCACUUGUAUCUCUACAUAUACUCCAGUCUUGUUCUGAAUUUGUUCACUUGCUUACCAGUCUUGUUAACUGAAAAGAAAAAAGGGGCCAAACAAGUUAACUUGUUUUGUUAAUUGCUUGAAACUCACUGUGCAAAUUGGUCCUCUCCUCUCUCUGUGUAAAUUUGUUGUGCAUGUUGAGCGUAAAUUUUCUGUAGCUUCUGUUAAAAAUAACUUAUUCUCAUGAAGCUUCUGUAGCUUCUUUUAAAAGUUGUCGUCUGUAGCUUUUGUUAACUUGUCUACUGAAACUUGGGCUACUGAAGCUUGUUAACUUGCAUAAUAUUGUGAACUUAAUUGUUGCUUGCAUAUUAAUGACAGCAAAAUCAUGAUAGGAGUAGUUUCUGUAAAAUCAUGACAUGCCAUACAAGCUUCUGUAAAAUCGUGUGGAUUUUCCUUAAAUUAAAAUUAAAAUCGUGUGGACUUGUUGCUUAGUUUUAAUUAAAAUUAGGAGUAGGAGUUGUUCUUGGAGUAGGAGUAGGAGUAGUUCUUGGAGUAUGUAGGAGUAGUUCUUGGUUAAUUAAAAUGAUCAUACAAAUGAUUCACUCCACACAAGUCUCUUCUCAAGGAGUUACAUAUACUCCACACAAGCCUCAUCUCUAGGAUUUACAUAUACUCCACACAAACAAGGAGUUACACAUACUCCACACAAAUAAUCACAAGCAUCUUAACAAGCAACUCCUCAAGCAUCUCGACAAGCAUCUCAACAAGCAACUCCUCAAGCAUCUCAACAAGCAACUCCUCAAGCAUAUCAACAAGCAUCUCUGACAAGUAUGUCAAGCCUCUUCUUCCAUCACCGAACUCUCUCCAUUAUCCCAAGAUUGUGCAGGGCAUUUGCAUAUACCUCUUCAGGGCAUGUAAGUCUUGGAGGUAGCAUCCCAAGGUUCUCUAGCCUUUCCUUGUUCGCAUGGGGUAUUUUAUACCCAUUGCCCCCUGCGUGGUUCAAGAUUUCAAUCAUGCAAGCUUGUAGAGAUAGGAAAACUCUGUUCAGCUUGUAAACUUCAUAGUUUUCAAAUUCAUCUAGCACACCCUUGAUAAGAUUCUGAAGCGUUCUAGGGCUUAGACAAUCUGUCAGAGAUUGCAACGAGUUGAAGAACCCAAGGUCAAGGCCAUUCAGAUCAGGGCUAUUGGCAGGUUGUUGAAUUAGUCUGAUGUCGAGUCCAGUUCUUUCCGCGGUUGCUACAAAUUCUGGGUCGUUGGGCAAGAUAUGGGGCUUGGCGUUGUCUUGUUGUAUAUAGAUGGUUUGCCCAGCAUCAUUCUCAGGCCAAGAUGCUUGUAUUGCUGGUAGUAGGUUAUCUAUCAUGAACUCUCUCAUUACUUGCCUGUUGACUUUUAUGGACUUCGUCUCCAUUGUUCCUCUGGGCCUGUUGUCGCUUCUCCUCUGAGCCGGAACUUCUUUCACAAACGGCCAAAUUCCAAUUUUCCCAGAAAAUGUCACAUUUCCUUCACUAUCCCACCUUGGCCUAGCAAUAGCCGUCAAGAACAUGACUUUUCCAAUACAACUGCCGUUUUGUAUAGUUCUCGUAGGCUCUUCCUCCCCAUAUAGCAGAUAAUAGUUCCUGUUUUUCUUGGUCAUAUAGAACCAUUUCUCGUCAAUAUGAAUAAUUUGUGCAUGGUCUUGAAUUUUGGCCUUUCAGUUUGUGUUGUUGUCUCAUCGAGCAUUGACAAGCAAAAUUCCAUUCUAUCCUUUUUGUUCUUUUCCUUCAAAACUGGCUUCAAACAGUUUGUAUGCCUCUUUAUCAACUUCAGCAUGAACUUCCGGUGGAGUGUCGUAGGGCUGCAACUGAGUUGCCAAGCAAGUGACCUGAUAGUAGACCGCUUGUUAAGUGGAAUGGUAGGUAUUUGAUCUAGAUUAAUGUCCUUUGGCUUUCUUCCACAGUUCUUUUUUCUCUGACUUGAAACAUCCACCUCCAGGCCUUGAGCAAUUUGCUUCAUUGCUUUCUUCCAAACUCUUUGUACAUUCCAUACACCCACUCCAAAGAAACUGGCAAUCUUUUUCUUGUCAUCUCUUUCAAAUUUGCCCCCUCUACUCAUGCACAGUGUGUGCAUUGCAACAUAAGCAGCAUACUUUUGCUUGUCAUCGAGGCUAUCCCUUUUCUUAACUGAUUGCUCAACACCUGCACGAAGAAAUACAGCAAAGGAAAAAUGAUCAAAUGAUCAAAGGAAAAAUGGUCAAAUGAACAUAAGCAUUCAAAUGAUGAUAUGAUCAUAUCAUCAAAUGAUCAAAUGAUGAUAUGAUCAUAUCAUCAAACUGUAUUCUGUAAUUUAACUGAUUUUUUCUUCCACCACUAACUGAAAAUUUCUGAAAUGCCACUGUAGCUAUACCUGCAUGUUGUACUCCCGCAUCUUCAUCCAUUUGUACUCCUACAUCUUCGUCCAUUUGUACUCCUGCAUCAUCAUCACCCAUUUCAUCUUCUGCAUCUUCUGCAGGUGGAGUGCAGUUGAGGUCUGGGACAACCAUCUUCUGCUGCUUUCAGUUCAUUCCUCUCUUUGCUACGUGGUCAUUGUUUCAGGACAGAUCGAGUUCGUUUCCAGCGACAGCAGAGAGAUGUACUCCAGCAGAGGAUCAAAUGAU
Triticum aestivum (bread wheat) is the source of this 3176-nucleotide long non-coding RNA. RefSeq lists it as uncharacterized. Lineage: Eukaryota; Viridiplantae; Streptophyta; Magnoliopsida; Poales; Poaceae. The record is from RefSeq and is a predicted model, not a curated record. The transcript is spliced from 3 exons.